Molecule: non-coding RNA, 1615 nt
Organism: Oryzias latipes (Japanese medaka)
Lineage: Eukaryota; Metazoa; Chordata; Actinopteri; Beloniformes; Adrianichthyidae
Source: RefSeq, a predicted model, not a curated record
AAAAAGAUGCAUUUAAUGACCUCAUCCCACUAAAAACGGGGCUUUUUGGACCAUUCGACUCUCCGUAGAUUGAAGAUCCCAGCGCCAGGUAUCAAACGCGAACUCAAAGCAUGAAAACGGAGGUGGAAAACAAGUAGUUUUGCUAAAUAGUCGGAUCGGCUGUCUUCUUAACAGUGAUAAUGAGGGGAAAACACGCUCGAGUCUCUGUGAGGAUUUAGCUUUUCUACAGAGUCCAGCUGCUGCAGAGCCGUAACGUAAGGAUGGUUGAAGUGGAAAAGACUGAACUGCUUUUACGCACGUUUCAAGGUGGAAAUGUUUCCAGUGAAGCCUCCUGUCCUUCCUGCACUGAGGGAUCACCAAACAGCAGCAGUGGAAUUAUUCCUGGGAUUGUCGCGGCCACAGUGUUCAUCACUUUUUUGCUUGCUCUCUACACCGUGCUCUGGAGGUGCAUGACAUCGCCACGGCAACGGAAGCGCAGCAAAGUGAGGGCAAGACUGAACAAGAGCUGUGCCGUGUGAUAUUGUGUCAUCUUUUUUUUUUCUUUUCAUAAUGACGUUCAUUCAACCAGGAAGUUUAUUUUCCUUUCACUGCUCGUCUGACUCUGAACUCUGUUCUUUAGAAAAGUUACACCCACCAGGUCACAUCAGGUUCUGUUUGAUCACAGAUUUGAUUGGGGGGUGUUUCUCAAUGUUUCCUCCAAAUGUGCACAAAUCAAGAGGCAACAGGUUUAACUCCCUCUACUGGCAAUUAGGUUUUGAGAACAUUAAAUAGUGGUACUUUUUUAGUGUUUUUCACCUUCAUUUAUUAUUUAUCGAUGCCAAAUGAGUUAUUUCUCCAUUAGUUUCAAUUUUUUAAUUAUAAAAGUAUCUAAAGGCCCACUCUGAUCAUCUUUUGAUCGAUUUUUAAAAGUGUUCUCAGUGGUAUUUUAAAUAUGAUUAUACCACUUUCAGCCAUCGUCUUAUUGUAAGACGUACUUUUUGCAGAACCCCGCCCCCUUUCCCAUCCUUGUUGCAGGGUGGAGCAGGAAGCUUGUGGUCCGCCCUGCAUAUUUUCUACGUCUUAAAGAAGCUUUUCGUCUGCUCUUGAUUCACAAUGAUUUAAAUAAAAAAAUAUUCCCAAUUUUUAUAACUUAAUUUUCUUAGUAUAUGUUCUCUAUCGUCAGAAACAUGCAACAAACAUGUUAAAAACACAAUUUUCGUUAUGUUUUAAAACAUUCAUUCUUGAACACUGGCGAUGGUGAUGAUCAAAAACAGGAGGAGAAGGCACUAUUUCAAGCUAUAAAGAAAAACACACUUAGUGCAGUUUUUGUCGGUUGUUUAAAAAUGAGAGAUGGCAUUUUUAUUGAUUCCUGUUUUGUUGCAAAUUUUUUAAUAAAGUCAUUUUUUAUCUUUGCAGCUAAAGGUUAUACUCAUUUCAUAUUUAAAUAUGAAAUGAGCAUUAAUAUUAAUUUUUAACAUAUUAAAAUCAUCAGCUGUUUCUGUUCUAUUUUAUCUAAUAAAAUGUUUAUUUUUAUGUGAUCCAGUUUCCUGUUGUGACCUGCAGUGUUGAGCACUUUGUGAUAUUUUUUUCUUCUUUCCGUGAAAAGUGUUGUAUAAAUAAACUUGCUAACUUUAAA